AUUGAACGCUGGCGGCAUGCUUUACACAUGCAAGUCGAACGGCAGCGCGCUCUUCUGCCUGGCUGCUAGUGGCGCACGGGUGAGUAAUGCAUCGGAAUGUGCCCCGUAUUGCGGUGUAGCCCGGCGAAAGCCGUGUUGAUACUGCCUACUACCUGCGCCUGCUACCUGGUGACCGAAAGGCCUCUCCCUCUUUUAGCGGCCGAUGUCGGAUUUGCUAGUUGGUGGGGUAAGGGCUUACCAAGGCGGCGAUCGGUAGCUGGACUGCGAGGACGACAAGCCACACGGGGACUGAGACACGGACAAGACGACUAAGGGAGGCAGCAGUGGGGAAUGUUGGACAAUGGGGGGAAACCUGAUACAGCCAGGCCGCGUGCGGGAAGAAGGCCUUGGGGUUGUAAACAGGGUUUGUUCGGGAAGAAAUCCUCUGGGCUAAUACCAAGGGGGGAUGACGGUAACGGAAGAAUAAGCACCGGCUAACUACGUG
RNAcentral lists this ribosomal RNA (484 nucleotides) under uncultured bacterium. RNAcentral's name for it is "partial 16S ribosomal RNA". It matches the Rfam family "Bacterial small subunit ribosomal RNA", at positions 30 to 507 of the family's 1533-position model. The record is from RNAcentral.